GUAUAAUCCCUCACCUCCAGCUGCACAACCAAGGCUUUGAGAGAAAUAGAAACUCUUCUUUUGUCUCAGAGUGACAAAAAGUGCUAGAGAACUUGGCAGAGUUUUGCAGAGAACUGCUCUCAUUACCCUGCAAUAUUUAGACCUGCAGCAUCAUAAUUUGCCUUAGGAAAUAAUUCUUCCACAGAGUUUUGCUUGGAAUAAAAUCUUCAGAGGACCAUAGUGACAUCUUCAGCUCAUGCACGACAGGCUUCUAAGAAGAAGGGAGAAGGAGCUUGAGCAGUACCAUAUCCUGAAUUCCUACUACAUGCCUCUGUGGGGAGAAGAUGUCUUACAAGACACUUCAGUGGAAUGGGAUUCAGUCACACCAGGGCAUUUUGACCACAGAUUAGGAAACUGUGAGUUUCAAGGAACAGAUUCAAACAGAUGGAAGUGAAAUAUUGCACUGAAGAGGUUGCUGUGACCUUCAGGUCUGAGCGAAGCCUUGUCCAGAAAUUCACUCCUUUUGCCUCUGUUUCUUCACCAUUAUUAAAUGUCACCAUAGCAGAAGUUACUGGAAGUUGCCUUGGAAAACAGUCAUGGAAAGACACAUUGAAGUUUUAGGUAAGGUUUGAUAUCCUUAGGUAUAUGUGGCUGCCAUUAUUACGGUGUAGAAUUGUACAAUCAGAUACUCUCUUCAGUGGUUGCUUGUUUUACUGGUGUCGAAGAGAUAAUAGAGAUCUUCUUGCUCAUCAUUCAUUUUUGGAGGUUUAACCCCAGCUGGAAAUUAAGCACCACGCAGCUUCUUGCUUCCAGUAGGACAGGGGAGAGAACCAAGAGAGUAAAAGUAAGAAAACUCAUGGGUUGAGAUAACAAUGGUUUAGUAGGGUAAGCAAAAUACAUACACAUGCAAAGCAGAGUGAGGAAUUCAACCACCACUUCCCAAGGUCAUUCACCACAUCCCUUGGGUCAUUCAGGGUCAGCUUUCCUGGGCUGUGUCCCCAGACAAGUCUUUGAACUCCUUCCUCCCCCCCACAAUUCUCCUUGCUGGCAAGGCAGUAGGAGAAGCAAAAAAGGCCUUGACACCAUGCAAGUGCUGCUCAGCAAUAAUGAAAAUGUCCCUGAGUCAUCAGGCAGUUGCAACAUACAUUCAAAACAUGUCCCCAUACCUGCUACUAUGAGGAAAAUUAACUCUAUCCCAGCCAAAACCAACACAAUAAUCCAGUGAUUUUCUUCUCUGCAACUUCAAGUGAAUGUUUAAAUGUAAAAGAAAAAAUAACUGAGUACUUAUUUUUUUCUCUUAGUUGUCUCUGAUCCUUUCUGGACAUGUAAUAAAAAAUGAUCCAAGUCUGGCCAAAAAAAUGCUUCUUACAAAGUCAGCAGUGGAAAAAAAAUGUCUAUUCCUGGAGUUGGAACUGCAGUGAGUAAAGAGGUAUCAAGGAUAAAUUUGCUACAAGACUGCCUACACUACUGAAGUUAACACUGAACCCAUGUAACCAAACUCCCCCAAAAGUCUAGUUUCUUCUCUAAACUUAUCAAAGGUGAGAAACUAAGUGGUAUGUUUCAAGCAGCUACAGUAAUUAGCACCUUUCCCAUCCAGUGUUAAUUGCCUCCACAGUAAUAAGAGUCAUAAUUACGCAGCACUCCAGCUUGUCACUUCGUUACACUAAUUGCACUGCCACCAAAUUUUGAAACUUUAAGUAAUGCACUGAUAAACAGAAUCUUCACUAUGUGCCACAAGUGUUUAAUUGGAUCUCAAAGCAGCAAAACCUUAAGCUGUGUAGCUGUGCUGAAGCAGAUCGCUGUAAUGAUUACACAUACUCCAGAAGAGACAGGUCUGCAGAAGCUGUGAAAAAUCACAUUGUGUUACUACUUAGUGAGUGGAGCACAAAUACAUUACAUAGAGGCAGUCACAGGCAAUAGUCUUGCCUUUAGCUUUGUAGCUUAUAGACUUCCAAACUUGUUUAUCUUGCUAUCAUGUUACUCUUUGCUUUGUGGUACACAUUGCUAUUGAAAUAUCCAUGUGCACAAAUAAAUUUAGCAGCUAAUGGAAGUGGCUUUAUAUACUUAUUAAUACUUGCAGGAUUUUAAGAGGGAUCUGAUUUUCAAGGGCUGUCAAACAGGUCAUCUUUAAAAAAUCAAAUCUGUUAAUAUUAGUUUUAGUAAGGUGCCUUAAAACGUAAUUUCUAAAAUCAGUAGCU
This is a long non-coding RNA of Haemorhous mexicanus (house finch), 2177 nucleotides long. RefSeq lists it as uncharacterized. The transcript has 3 exons. NCBI's taxonomy places the organism in Eukaryota, Metazoa, Chordata, Aves, Passeriformes, Fringillidae. The record is from RefSeq and is a predicted model, not a curated record.